RNAcentral lists this transfer RNA (71 nucleotides) under Ixodes scapularis (black-legged tick). RNAcentral describes it as "tRNA-Ser for anticodon GGA". It matches the Rfam family "tRNA". Rfam says of the family: Transfer RNA (tRNA) molecules are approximately 80 nucleotides in length. Their secondary structure includes four short double-helical elements and three loops (D, anti-codon, and T loops). The record is from RNAcentral. Lineage: Eukaryota; Metazoa; Arthropoda; Arachnida; Ixodida; Ixodidae.
UCCUGGUUAGCUCAGUUGAUAGUGCGCUCCACUGGAGAUGGAGAAGUCCUGGUUCGAUACCGGACCAGGCG